UAAGGAAUAUUGGUCAAUGGAGGCAACUCUGAACCAGCCAUGCCGCGUGCAGGAAGAAGGCCCUAUGGGUCGUAAACUGCUUUUAUACGGGAGAAAACCUAGGUACGUGUACCUAGUUGAUAGUACUGUAAGAAUAAGGAUCGGCUAACUUCGUGCCAGCAGCCGCGGUAAGACGAAGGAUCCAAGCGUUAUCCGGAUUCAUUGGGUUUAAAGGGAGCGUAGGCGGGUUUAUAAGUCAGUGGUGAAAGCC
This 250-nucleotide ribosomal RNA is filed under the name uncultured bacterium. RNAcentral's name for it is "partial 16S ribosomal RNA". It matches the Rfam family "Bacterial small subunit ribosomal RNA", at positions 355 to 602 of the family's 1533-position model. The record is from RNAcentral.